CCUGGGUCAGGUAAGUGGGGCACGAAUGACUGGUAAUCACCAGGGCGUGGUCACAACUCUGCUGAGCUCCUAUCGGGCCAACAUUUCCAUCAGUGUCGAGUCUUUAGGUGGGGAACAAGUCAGGGACAAAUGCACCGUGAACCAGACCUGUUCAAGGAUCCGGGGACUAGCAUCAGGUGAAGGCCAGGCCCAAGUCCUGAAGCAUCUCCAACCUGAAAGGAACUCCAGGCCCAAAGUUCAGGAAGUGGACCUUGAUGUGCACCUAAAUACAUAUCCUCAUAUGUGAUUCGUUCUUGGAAAGCCAGGCAGCUGCUGCUGGUCCUGCCCAGAGGCUUGGCAGCUGCGGUGGAACUGGAGUGUAGCGGGAUGGGACAGCUGGUGGGCAAACAUGGAAGCCAGUUUGGAUCAUGG
This 411-nucleotide long non-coding RNA is filed under the name Heterocephalus glaber (naked mole-rat). RNAcentral's name for it is "lncRNA (ENSHGLG00100051062.1)". The record is from RNAcentral. Lineage: Eukaryota; Metazoa; Chordata; Mammalia; Rodentia; Bathyergidae.